UACGUAGGGGGCUAGCGUUGUCCGGAUUUAUUGGGCGUAAAGAGCGUGUAGGCGGCCAGGUAGGUCUGCUGUGAAAACUCGAGGCUCAACCUCGAGACGUCGGCGGAAACCAUCUGGCUAGAGUCCGGAAGAGGAGAGUGGAAUUCCUGGUGUAGCGGUGAAAUGCGCAGAUAUCAGGAAGAACACCCGUGGCGAAGGCGGCUCUCUGGGACGGUACUGACGCUGAGGGACGAAAGCUAGGGGAGCGAAUGGG
Molecule: ribosomal RNA, 253 nt
Filed under: uncultured bacterium
Lineage: Bacteria
Description: partial 16S ribosomal RNA
Rfam family: Bacterial small subunit ribosomal RNA
Source: RNAcentral